RNAcentral lists this small nucleolar RNA (101 nucleotides) under Sorghum bicolor (sorghum). RNAcentral describes it as "Small nucleolar RNA Z188". It matches the Rfam family "Small nucleolar RNA Z188". Rfam says of the family: Z188 is a member of the C/D class of snoRNA which contain the C (UGAUGA) and D (CUGA) box motifs. Most of the members of the box C/D family function in directing site-specific 2'-O-methylation of substrate RNAs. Lineage: Eukaryota; Viridiplantae; Streptophyta; Magnoliopsida; Poales; Poaceae. The record is from Rfam by way of RNAcentral.
GCGUGCCAGUGAUGAUUCAUGCAAUCGGUGAAUUCUGGAUGAAUGUCCUGCUUGCACAGGCAUGGUGAUAUCCACUUCCAAAGCGUUUAUCUGAGGCACUC